This 277-nucleotide ribosomal RNA is filed under the name uncultured bacterium. Its description in RNAcentral is "partial 16S ribosomal RNA". It matches the Rfam family "Bacterial small subunit ribosomal RNA", at positions 29 to 329 of the family's 1533-position model. The record is from RNAcentral.
AACGAACGCUGGCGGCAGGCCUCAAACAUGCAAGUCUAGGGGGUGCAGCAAUGCAUCACCGGCGGACGGGUGCGUAACGCGUGGGAAUAUACCUAUUGGUUCGGAACAACUGCGGGAAACUGCAGCUAAUACCGAAUGUGCCCUAACGGGGAAAGAUUUAUCGCCAAUGGAUUAGUCCCGCGUAGGAUUAGCUAGUUGGUGGGGUAAGUGGCUCACCAAGGCUCCGAUCCUUAGCUGUUCUGAGAGGAAGAUCAGCCACACUGGGACUGAGACACGG